UUAAUAAUAAAGGUGAUAAGCAUGAUGAGAGUGAAAAGUUGAUAGUAAUAAAUAAUGAUAAGACUGUUUAUUCACCACUAACAUAUAAUAAUGGAUCUUUUAGUUCAAGCAAUGAAAUAAAAGUAAAGGAAAUUGAAAUUAAUACCAACUAUAUAUUAGAUAAAGUUAAAUAUAUUUAUAGAAAUAAUACUUAUAACAGAAUGGAAUAUGUGCAACUAUUCCGAGCCUUUUCAAAGUUAUUUUUAAUUCAUUAUGGACUAUCACAUAAAGAUUUGUUACAAUAUACAACAGGUUUGAAUUUGCAAUUUGAUGGCUUACGAGAAGAAUUAGCGUAUAGAAAGGCAUACAAAAUGUAUGCAGAAGAGUUAGCAGUUUUGUUAAAUUCUUUAGAAUACGAAUUUAAUGCAAAACACUUAGGACUUAACAAUACGGUUUUACUUACGAAAGAUCGAAAAUAUUUCCCAAACGAGGAUCACAAAAUUAGUUAUGCAUAUAUAGAUAAAGAUAACGAUCAAUUAAUACUUAGUGAUACAUAUGAGCAUUGUACAAAUCAAGUAGCAUCGGUUUCCGAAGAAUUGAACAACUAUAUAUUGAACAAAAUGAACAAAAGUGAUGAAACACAUUGUAUUGAUAGGACGAACGAAUAUAAUCAGAUCAAUCUGACAGUAACAUAUCACACAUUUAUGUUGGAUUGUAAUGUAUCGCGAUACUAUGAACAGGUGGUUCAGAAAUAUGAUCAAAUAAAACAACUUAUGUUUAAUAGAACGUUAUUUACUGACGUAUCAAUACAAUUAGAAAAUUAUAAUUGGGAUAAUUACACAUUGACUAUAAACGCAAUAACUGACAAUACUUUAAUUGAGAAAUUAUUGAAGGUUGGAUCCGAGUUUAUGAAUGCCAAUACGAUUAUAAAAAUAAAUAUUUCCGGUCGUAAGAGUGAUAGAGAACAGUCUUCGAGUUAUACGUUUGAAACAAUUUCUUUCUCACAUAGCUGUAAUAAUGAUUGUAAUAAUAACAAGUUUAUCGUUGUAAAGGAAAAUUUAGAUUAUAUAUAUAUUGAUACAAUAUGUUUUCAAAAUGAUAGUUUACCUGAUAUUUGUUUUCCUAAGUAUAAUUAUACUUACAUAUUUGAUAUGAGGUUAAUAAGACUAAACAAUACAAACAUAAACCCUUAUCCCGAAAUUUUAUUAACAGAAGAUGUGCAAAAAGAUAUUGUAGAAAUUAGUUAUUGUGUGCUUAAAAUUAAUAAUAACAUAUCUAAUUUUGAAACAAAUGAUACUAGUUACAUAAAUAAUGUGUGUAACGAUUCUAUU
Molecule: long non-coding RNA, 1310 nt
Filed under: Piliocolobus tephrosceles (Ugandan red Colobus)
Lineage: Eukaryota; Metazoa; Chordata; Mammalia; Primates; Cercopithecidae
Description: lncRNA (ENSPTEG00000011088.1)
Source: RNAcentral